This 89-nucleotide ribosomal RNA is filed under the name Bacillus subtilis J26. RNAcentral describes it as "partial 16S ribosomal RNA". Lineage: Bacteria; Bacillati; Bacillota; Bacilli; Caryophanales; Bacillaceae. The record is from RNAcentral.
CUGGCUCAGGACGAACGCUGGCGGCGUGCCUAAUACAUGCAAGUCGAGCGGACAGAUGGGAGCUUGCUCCCUGAUGUUAGCGGCGGACG